ACACGAGAGAGGAGGUGAUCCGGAAGUGAUUUCUUUUCGGAUGCGUGAGGUGACUGCGGGCUGAGGCCUGUCGUCACAUGACGGCAGGCCUCCUGCCGUACAUCCAGCAGUCACCGGCCCGCGGGCUCGUCGGCACAUCCGGCCGACCUCUCUUGCCAGCAGGAGAGAGCAGAGCCCGCGGGCUUCUGCGU
This 191-nucleotide small RNA is filed under the name Streptomyces kanasensis. RNAcentral describes it as "Streptomyces sp. ZX01 Actinobacteria sRNA Ms_IGR-5". It matches the Rfam family "Actinobacteria sRNA Ms_IGR-5". Lineage: Bacteria; Bacillati; Actinomycetota; Actinomycetes; Kitasatosporales; Streptomycetaceae. The record is from Rfam by way of RNAcentral.